RNAcentral lists this ribosomal RNA (460 nucleotides) under uncultured bacterium. RNAcentral's name for it is "partial 16S ribosomal RNA". It matches the Rfam family "Bacterial small subunit ribosomal RNA", at positions 338 to 795 of the family's 1533-position model. The record is from RNAcentral.
CCUACGGGAGGCAGCAGUGAGGAAUAUUGGUCAAUGGACGCAAGUCUGAACCAGCCAUGCCGCGUGCAGGAAGACGGCUCUAUGAGUUGUAAACUGCUUUUGUACGAGGGUAAACGCAGAUACGCGUAUCUGUCUGAAAGUAUCGUACGAAUAAGGAUCGGCUAACUCCGUACCAGCAGCAGCGGUAAUACGGAGGAUUCAAGCGUUAUCCGGAUUUAUUGGGUUUAAAGGGUGCGUAGGCGGUCUGAUAAGUUAGAGGUGAAAUCCUGAGGCUCAACCUCUGAAUUGCCUCUGAUACUGUUCGUCUAGAGAAUAGUAGCGGUAGGCGGAAUGCAUGGUGUAGCGGUGAAAUGCUUAGAGAUCAUACAGAACACCGAUUGCGAAGGCAGCUUACCAAGCUACUUCUGACGUUGAGGCACGAAAGCGUGGGGAGCAAACAGGAUUAGAUACCCGAGUAGUC